Nothobranchius furzeri (turquoise killifish) is the source of this 2248-nucleotide non-coding RNA. NCBI's taxonomy places the organism in Eukaryota, Metazoa, Chordata, Actinopteri, Cyprinodontiformes, Nothobranchiidae. The record is from RefSeq and is a predicted model, not a curated record.
AAGUUGAUGAUGAAAAUAAGCAGACAAAAGACGGGACCCUGAAUAUAAACACAUACAGGAAACCAGCACACACACACCAAUAUUUAUUAUGGACAUCAGAACACUGUACUAUACAGAAAAUGUCAGUGAACAGUAAGUAAGUAAGUAAAAGUUUAUUUAUAGAGCGCCUUUCUCAGAUAUAAAUCACAAAGCGCUGUACAACAUGAUAAAGAUCAGGGCAAAUACCUCUAACCAAUAAAAACAUCAGAAAAACAACAGCAGUGAUAAACGUAGAAAAUAAAAUCAUGAGUAUAAACAAAGUGAAGGUGUGAACCCGAACAAAGCCAUCUUUUAGAACAUUUAGGGAGGGAACACCUGGAUGAAAAGGUGAGUUUUUAGAUGAUUUUUAAAGACCUCUACAGUGUUAGAGAGACGGAGAUUUGAAGGUAGACUGGUCCAAAGUCUGGGGGCAAUAGUCUGAAAGGCCCCGCCCCCUUUGGUUUUCAGUCUGGUUCGAGGAACAGCCAGGAGGUUUUCAGAUGUGGAUCUAAGGUUCCGAGAGGUGGUGUGUGGGGAUAAAAGCUCAGAUAGGUAGCUUGGAGCCUGGUUGUUGAGAGCUCUAUAGGUCAGGACUAAAACUUUAAACUGUAUUCUAUAUUCUACCGGGAGCCAGUGGAGGGACUGUAAACCUGGAGUGAUGUGAGCUCGUCGGCUGGAUUUGGUUAGGAGUCUGGCUGCUGCAUUUUGGAUGGCUUGAAGGCGUGAGAGGGAGGUUUUGCUGAGACCAGUAAAAAGAGCGUUACAGUAGUCUAAGCGUAGGGUUGCCAACCGUCCCUUGAAAAACGGAAUCGUCCCGUAUUUAGAAACACAAGUGCACGUCCCGUAUUGAACUCAAAAGGGACGCACUUUGUCCCGUAAUAUAGUAUGGAUCAAAAUUAGUCUGUAGUCUAUUACCGGAAUUAACGCUUUGUUUGAAAGCCAGCCCUUCGCCUGCUCUGUGACCAAUGAACUGGCCGCAUGCUUACACACGAAUAUGACGAUACAGAUUACCGCUUAUUUCAUUGGUCGAGGAACGGUCGCUUGGGGAGAAGAUACCGGAAGAAAACACGACAGCAAACAGCACGGCCAACCGGGAAACUAACGCCGACACUGCUGUACAAGUCUCGGACGACAGUACCCCUCCGAGAAAGAAGAAAAAAGGCUUCAAAAAUACAGGGAGGAAUGGGAAAAGGAAAAUUCCUAGCUGGAAAAACUGCGCGAUAACACCUAUAAAGCGCACUGCACCGUGUACCGGCGCAGUUUUUCCAAAGGGCAUGGUGGACUCACUGACCUCAAGCAACAUGCGUCUAGUAGUAGCCACAUGAAAAACAUAAAGGACGUGAAAUUACGGGGAACCCUCGAUCAGUUUGUCGUCCACAAGGCCACGGCAGAAGCAGAUAUGGUUAAACACCUCUAUGGAUGAGCUUUAUGACGAGUGUGUCACUGCAACCAGCCUUCUGGAGCCCCUCACCAAAGGACCUCAGGAGAAGGAAAAGUGGCAGUCCAAGGGAACAGCAGAGAAGUGUAUAGAAAUUCUUCAGGCAGCUGACCUCUCCAACAUCCAGCCUGUUGUAUCGUUUGUACUCAGCAUCCCAUCUUCCACUGGAUUGGCAGAGAGGAUUUUCUCUCUCAUGAAGAAUAAGUGGACUGAUGUGCGGAACAAAUGUUCUACUGAAAUAAUUAGAUGUGAGCUCAUUGUCACUCUAAAUUGUGACAUGUUUUGCUCAGAGUUUUACUCUGCAGUACUGAAAGACAGACAACUCCUAAAUGCAGCAAGAUCUCAAAAGAAAUACAAAUGGAGAAAAUAGUCUGUUUUCACAUAAUGUAGCAUUGAGCUUUUGAGUUCAUGAGUUUGGACUUUUUUUUUUUACUUCAACCGUAGGCUACAGUCAAGGCCUUUGAGGCACAAAUAUGUUUACAGCUUCUCCACAGACUUUCUGUUUGCACUUUUCUAAUUGCACUCAAUGUGCAGUUACAGCGUUGCUCUUUCUGUUGUUUUCUAUUAAUUUAUACAAUUUUAAGUUAAGCAGAACAGAGUUGUUUUAAAGAGAGUUAUUUAUAUUCUAAAAAGUAAAGCAUAACAGGCUACCGUUUAAGAAAGAGACCUACUUUUUUUUUUUGUCAUUUUGCACAAAAAGUUGAGCAUAACAGUUUUCUGUUUAAGAAAAAUACCUUUGUUACUUAUAAUAAUUUUGUAAUUUCACGCCAUAAAUAAAUGGCUAAAUGAUCA